CCCCCUCGGCUUAACCCUAACCUCCCCCUGCAGCUUACCUAUCAGAUGGGCCAAUCUUGAUCACUGUAACAGAGUCCUCGUUGUCACGGUACCCGAACUACCCAGCCGCAACUUAAGGCUUCUAGCUGCUUCCAGUCUGAGUAGCAGUGGCAUCAGCGACAGUGGUAUCCCUGGGACACAGGCAGCACCCAGUGUCUGGCUAUCCAAGGAAACCAGAGCACCCACAACAAAUGCACACAAAGCAAGGGAGGAAAAUGCAAAUUCCAAACAGGCAGCGACAUGAUUUGAAUCCAAACAUGUCCCUUCUAGGAAAGGUAACAAUGUUAACCACUGUGCUACUUUGUCACCUACAAUUUAGCACUGCUCACUACUGUAUGUGAAGGGACCUAGAGGUAUUGGGAGCCCGGCAUUGCAGAAAUUACCAGUGAUUGAACACAACAAGCCAACAAACAAAACCCUCAGUAAAUGAACAUUUAAUGAAUGAAUAAAAAAAAAGCAUAAAAUGA
Pseudophryne corroboree (corroboree frog) is the source of this 506-nucleotide long non-coding RNA. RefSeq lists it as uncharacterized. The record is from RefSeq and is a predicted model, not a curated record. The transcript has 2 exons. Lineage: Eukaryota; Metazoa; Chordata; Amphibia; Anura; Myobatrachidae.